UGCCAGCCGCCGCGGUAAUACGGAGGGGGUUAGCGUUGUUCGGAAUUACUGGGCGUAAAGCACACGUAGGCGGCCGUACAAGUUGGAUGUGAAAGCCCUGGGCUCAACCCAGGAAGUGCAUCCAAAACUGUAUGGCUCGAGUACCGAAGGGGGUCAGAGAAUUCCCGGUGUAGAGGUGAAAUUCGUAGAUAUCGGAAGGAACACCAGUGGCGAAGGCGACUUCCUGGGCCAAUACUGACGCUGAGGUGCGAAAGCGUGGGGAGCAAACAGGAUUAGAUA
Molecule: ribosomal RNA, 279 nt
Filed under: uncultured bacterium
Lineage: Bacteria
Description: partial 16S ribosomal RNA
Rfam family: Bacterial small subunit ribosomal RNA
Source: RNAcentral